UGAGUACGAGCUGCUACGGCAGCGAAGUGGGUGAUGUCAAGCUUCCAAGGAAAGCCCUAUACCCGUUAAGGCAUGAUGGCCUGUACCCGAAACCGACACAGGUGGGGUGGUAGAGAAUACCGAGGGGCGCGAGAUAACUCUCUCUAAGGAACUCGGCAAAAUGGCCCCGUAACUUCGGGAGAAGGGGUGCCACCGCAAGGUGGUCGCAGUGAAGAGGCCCAGGCGACUGUUUACCAAAAACACAGGUCUCCGCUAAGUCGCAAGACGAUGUAUGGGGGCUGACGCCUGCCCAGUGCCGGAAGGUUAAGGAAGCUGGUCAGCGUAAGCGAAGCUAGCGACUGAAGCCCCGGUGAACGGCGGCCGUAACUAUAACGGUCCUAAGGUAGCGAAAUUCCUUGUCGGGUAAGUUCCGACCCGCACGAAAGGCGUAACGAUCUGGGCGCUGUCUCGGAGAGAGGCUCGGCGAAAUAGAAUUGUCUGUGAAGAUGCGGACUACGUGCACCCGGACAGAAAGACCCUAUGAAGCUUUACUGUAGCUUGGUAUUGUGCUCGGGCUCGGAAUGCGCAGGAUAGGUGGGAGGCUAUGAACCAUUGCUUGUGGGUGAUGGUGAGCCACUGGUGAGAUACCACUCUUUCCGAGCUAGAGUUCUAACAGCCACCCGUUAUCCGGGGGCUGGACAGUAUCAGGUGGGCAGUUUGACUGGGGCGGUCGCCUCCUAAAAGGUAACGGAGGCGCGCAAAGGUUUGCUCAGGCUGGUUGGAAAUCAGCCGACGAGUGUAAAAGCAGAAGCAAGCUUGACUGUGAGACCUACAAGUCGAACAGGGAGGAAACUCGGCUUUAGUGAUCCGACGGUUCUGCGUGGAAGGGCCGUCGCUCAACGGAUAAAAGUUACUCUAAGGAUAACAGGCUGAUCUCCCCCAAGAGUUCACAUCGACGGGGAGGUUUGGCACCUCGAUGUCGGCUCAUCGCAACCUGGGGCUGAAGUCGGUCCCAAGGGUUGGGCUGUUCGCCCAUUAAAGCGGUACGCGAGCUGGGUUCAGAACGUCGUGAGACAGUUCGGUCCAUAUCCGGUGCAUGCGCAGGAAUAUUGAGAGGAUUUCUCCCUAGUACGAGAGGACCGGGAGGAACGCACCUCUGGUGUACCAGUUAUCGUGCCAACGGUAAACGCUGGGUAGCCAUGUGCGGAGAGGAUAACCGCUGAAAGCAUCUAAGUGGGAAGCCCACCUCAAGAUGAGUAUUCCCAUGGGGUAACCCAGUAAGGUCACGGGAAGAACACCCGUUGAUAGGCUCUACGUGGAAGCGCAGUAAUGUGUGAAGCGGAGGAGUACUAAUAGACCGAGGGCUUGACC
RNAcentral lists this ribosomal RNA (1350 nucleotides) under metagenome. RNAcentral describes it as "bacterial LSU rRNA". It matches the Rfam family "Bacterial large subunit ribosomal RNA", at positions 1564 to 2925 of the family's 2925-position model. The record is from RNAcentral.